This 327-nucleotide small nuclear RNA is filed under the name Neogale vison (American mink). Its description in RNAcentral is "Neovison vison (American mink) 7SK RNA (ENSNVIG00000010034.1)". It matches the Rfam family "7SK RNA". Rfam says of the family: 7SK was discovered as an abundant small nuclear RNA in the mid-70s but a possible function has only recently been suggested. Two independent studies have found that 7SK RNA binds the CDK9/cyclin T complex (known as elongation factor P-TEFb). The record is from Rfam by way of RNAcentral. Lineage: Eukaryota; Metazoa; Chordata; Mammalia; Carnivora; Mustelidae.
GGAUGUGAGGGCAAUCUGACUGCGGCAUCUGUCACCCCAUUGUUUGCCAGGCUUGAUUUGGCUAAUCUGGCUGGCUAGGCAGGUGUCCCCUUCCUCUCUCACUACUCUAUCUACAUCCCUCCCGAAGCUGCACACUCAGUCGAAGAGGAUGACCUUCCCUGAAAGAGGAGAGAACCAUUCUUUGGUCAAGGGUAUAUGAGUAGCUGUGCUCCCCUGAUAGAACCUUUAAGCAAUAUUUCAAGGUCCAUUUGUAGGAGAAUGUAGGGUAGUCAAGCUUCUAAGACCCCAGACACACCCAAAUGUGGCUCUGCCCGUGGCAGUCUGAUU